AGUGAACGCUGGCGGUAGGCCUAACACAUGCAAGUCGAACGGCAGCACAGUAAGAGCUCGCCCUUACGGGUGGCGAGUGGCGGACGGGUGAGGAAUACAUCGGAAUCUACUUUUUCGUGGGGGAUAACGUAGGGAAACUUACGCUAAUACCGCAUACGACCUACGGGUGAAAGCAGUGGAUCUUCGGACCUUGCGCGACUGAAUGAGCCGAUGUCGGAUUAGCUAGUUGGCGGGGUAAAGGCCCACCAAGGCGACGAUCCGUAGCUGGUCUGAGAGGAUGAUCAGCCACACUGGAACUGAGACACGGUCCAGACUCCUACGGGAGGCAGCAGUGGGGAAUAUUGGACAAUGGGCGCAAGCCUGAUCCAGCCAUGCCGCGUGGGUGAAGAAGGCCUUCGGGUUGUAAAGCCCUUUUGUUGGGAAAGAAAAGCAGCGGGUUAAUCCCCCGCUGUUCUGACGGUACCCAAAGAAUAAGCCCCGGCUAACUUCGUG
This 492-nucleotide ribosomal RNA is filed under the name uncultured bacterium. RNAcentral describes it as "partial 16S ribosomal RNA". It matches the Rfam family "Bacterial small subunit ribosomal RNA", at positions 29 to 507 of the family's 1533-position model. The record is from RNAcentral.